AUUGAACGCUGGCGGCAGGCCUAACACAUGCAAGUCGAGCGGCAGCGGAAGGAAGCUUGCUUCCUUGCCGGCGAGCGGCGGACGGGUGAGUAAUGUCUGGGGAUCUGCCUGAUGGAGGGGGAUAACUACUGGAAACGGUAGCUAAUACCGCAUAACGUCGCAAGACCAAAGAGGGGGACCUUCGGGCCUCAUGCCAUCAGAUGUGCCCAGAUGGGAUUAGCUAGUAGGUGGGGUAAUGGCUCACCUAGGCGACGAUCCCUAGCUGGUCUGAGUGGAUGACCAGCCACACUGGAACUGAGACACGGUCCAGACUCCUACGGGAGGCAGCAGUGGGGAAUAUUGCACAAUGGGCGCAAGCCUGAUGCAGCCAUGCCGCGUGUGUGAAGAAGGCCUUCGGGUUGUAAAGCACUUUCAGCGAGGAGGAAGGCGUUGUAGUUAAUAACUGCAGCGAUUGACGUUACUCGCAGAAGAAGCACCGGCUAACUCCGUGCCAGCCGCCGCGGUA
Molecule: ribosomal RNA, 505 nt
Filed under: uncultured bacterium
Lineage: Bacteria
Description: bacterial SSU rRNA
Rfam family: Bacterial small subunit ribosomal RNA
Source: RNAcentral